This is a long non-coding RNA of Dermacentor albipictus, 382 nucleotides long. RefSeq lists it as uncharacterized. Lineage: Eukaryota; Metazoa; Arthropoda; Arachnida; Ixodida; Ixodidae. The record is from RefSeq and is a predicted model, not a curated record.
GAGCUUUUCCAAGCGAACCGUCGCUUUUCAGUCUUUCUUCGCACCGCGUAGUCCAGAAAACGUCGCCGUUUCUUUCAUCCCCCGGCCCCCUCACUGCCGUGUCCGCGUGGAGCUGCUGUGACAAAGAACCUUUGCGGUUCGGUAUCCGGCAGUCCAGGCCUCUGCCAGGCCUCUGGCGAACCCAACGAGCAAGCUCUGCGGACGAUCUUUCUGGACCCCUUCGCGGCUGCGCGCCACUGACCCAGCAAAGCCAUGAGUGAAUUGCCAUUGAUAAAGACAAGUGGACCUCUGAUGGACUCACUUGAUGGACCACUGAAUCCGGAAUGGCCGGACGCACCCCCGAUGUCUCGACCGCCUGUAGACGUCGUCCGUAACCAGCCCG